This 1397-nucleotide small RNA is filed under the name Vigna angularis var. angularis. RNAcentral's name for it is "Non-protein coding transcript". Lineage: Eukaryota; Viridiplantae; Streptophyta; Magnoliopsida; Fabales; Fabaceae. The record is from RNAcentral.
UUCCAUCACAACAACAUUGAGUACAGCCGUGUAGAAGUAAAAAGCUCAUGGAAUAAAAUAAGAUGCAACUAGUAAAAUAAGCAACCAAAUUCAAUUCAAAUUGGAAAUGACAGUACACAACACGUUAACAGCAAAGAAGGAAGUGUACGUAUUCUUCCACAUGUUUAGAACAAUAACUUCACUCUUGGUUCAAGCAUUAAUAAACAAACCAAACCUAUUCAAACUAAACCCCAUUCCAUUAUGCAGACAGAGAAUCCAAACCAGAGUUCUUGCUUGUGGUGGCAGCUAACGCAUUUCUCCUCUCUUGCUCUCCAAACAAAUUGUUUUUUUCUUCAGAGAACUCCAGCCCCUCAGAGUAGUCUCCAGACUCCAAGUAGCAGCCCUCCAACAAAGACGUUCACAGCCAAUAGUUUCAAAACCAAAAACCCAGAGUGUGUGUAGCCGUGAGUUCUGUAACUAAGAGUAGUGUCCAGAACCUCUGAAUGUAACCGAAUGUGUAUAGUCGUUCCUCCUUUUGAGCUUGUAAGUCUCUUCUUUCCAAAAAGGAAAACCCAGCCAGCUAUGAGCCAUCUCUUUCCGUUCAAUCAUGGCCUGCUCUCCACGUCCUCUGCUAAGCUUUUCAGUGAGGAUAAUAUUCCCUUCAGUGGCUGCUCCCGCUUUUUAUCCCUUCAUAUAUUUUGUUGAUCCUUAGUUGUCCAAGGGCCGUGUGUUUUAAUCUUUGCUGCACUGUGGCUUCUCUAAUGAAAGGGUUUUAACCGAGAGGUAGUGAAGUAUUUGCUUCCAACUGUGAUCUUUCUUGGCUGUUGUAUUUGCUGCCAUGCACCUCAAAGAAACUUGUGACCUCUACUUUUCUCCAUGCAGCUUCUCAGGUUGGUCCGUGAAGUGUAUGGGCGUGCUCUGCUUCCAGCUAUAAAACAAUCAAACUAAUUAAAUAUGGCUUAAUCUCCCAAGCCGUGACACAUGUGUGCUUGUGUUGUGCUCUUUCCGUAACAGCCCCAAAGGAGAAUGUUUCUCCCAAACCAUUUGAAAACCACGUUCUCAGCAGAAAGUUGGAAUGCCCACUUGAAUAUUGCCUAAAAUGAAUUGUGGGGGCCGUGUGCUUUUAUUCUUUUCAGAGCAAUGACACUUCAAAAACCACUCAGCAGAAUUCCGAACGUGAUUUGUUCCCAAGCAUAAAAAAUGUGGCAGCACAUUUGUUAUCUUUCAGCUAUAAAACCGUGACACCACCUACAAACAAAAAUAUUCCACUCCUAAUUUUUCACUUCCACACACAAAAUAAAUCAAUCCAGUGUAUCUUCUUUCUAUUAAUUAACACAGUGUAAAAGUGAAUAUUCUUCCAAACGUCCCAAUUUAUAAUUCCAAAAUUUUCACUAUAAUUAAUAAUGCAAAUAAUUAAC